Molecule: ribosomal RNA, 669 nt
Filed under: uncultured bacterium
Lineage: Bacteria
Description: bacterial SSU rRNA
Rfam family: Bacterial small subunit ribosomal RNA
Source: RNAcentral
AGAGUUUGAUUCUGGCUCAGNNNNNNCGCUGGCGGCAUGCUUUACACAUGCAAGUCGAGCGGCAGCGCGGGGGCAACCCUGGCGGCGAGCGGCGAACGGGUGAGUAAUACAUCGGAACGUGUCCCGUAGUGGGGGAUAGCCCGGCGAAAGCCGGAUUAAUACCGCAUAUGCUCUACGGAGGAAAGUGGGGGACUCGCAAGGGCCUCACGCUAUGGGAGCGGCCGAUGUCCGAUUAGCUUGUUGGCGGGGUAAUGGCCCACCAAGGCGACGAUCGGUAGCUGGUCUGAGAGGAUGAUCAGCCACACUGGGACUGAGACACGGCCCAGACUCCUACGGGAGGCAGCAGUGGGGAAUUUUGGACAAUGGGGGGAACCCUGAUCCAGCCAUGCCGCGUGCGGGAAGAAGGCCUUCGGGUUGUAAACCGCUUUUGGUCGGAAAGAAAAGGCGCACCCUAAUACGGGGCGUUCUUGACGGUACCGGCAGAAUAAGCACCGGCUAACUACGUGCCAGCAGCCGCGGUAAUACGUAGGGUGCGAGCGUUAAUCGGAAUUACUGGGCGUAAAGCGUGCGCAGGCGGUUCUCCAAGUCCGUUGUGAAAGCCCCGGGCUCAACCUGGGAAUGGCAGUGGAAACUANNGGACUUGAAUCUGGCAGAGGGGGGUGGAAUUCC